AGAGAACUGAUAUUGGCUUUAGAAGGAUCAGUUUAGAAGCAGUGUGGAACAUACAUGGAAAAGCUGCAAAACUGUAGGGUAGUUGCUGGAUGACUGCAGUGACUCAUGAACAUGAGAACAGAGCUUUGAAGAGUAAUGACAUUGAGUGACGUUCCAGUUUCUGAGCUCAGAGUGAGAAGUGGCAGCUUUCACUUCCUGCCUCCUGAGCCACCCCAUUAAGAACCCUGCCAGAGAGAAUCCUGCUAGAAUGCGAGAGACCACAGUGAAGAGCAGUAAGGCUCCAGACUGGUUAAGUGGAGAAGUGACGAGGAGAAACCAUUUUCUUUAGGAGAGUGCCUCGAUGAAUACUCUUGGAUUGGGUGAAUCCUUGUAAAGGAGCGUGCAAACAGGGAUGUUGCUGGAAGGAAUAUGAAGUCAUUGAGAACUUUUGUAAGUGUGGUAGCAGGUUUUCAUGCUUAUGGGAAUGAUCACAUAGAGGAUGAAAUUAAUGAAGCAGGAGUCCAUGGAGCUGCCAAGUAAUAGAUCAGUGUCCUUACAGCUAUGUUCUCUCCUCUUCAUCUUUCCAACAGACCCCUGAACAAUACAUAAUGAAAAUUUGAUCAUGUCAUUUCCCUUGCUUAAAUCUGUGUUAAUGACUCCCCACUAAUUUCAGGAUGCAUUUUGGACUUCUGGCACUGAUCUGUGUAUUAGAUAUACAGAGUUGAACAAAUAGUGUUAGCCCUUGCCCUAGUGGAAUUUAUAAUCAAGUUGGAAGAAAAGGCAAAAACCGACGAGCCAAAUAAGCUAAAGGAGUGCUGUGAGACAGAAAGGCUAAGCAGUAUUUGUAUGCAUUUGAAAACAAUGCAGAGGGAAGAAGGAGAGCAGAAGAGAAACUAAUGGAAGGACCAAAGUCCAUAAGGAGAGAGGGGCUGAGUACAGAGUACACAUGAAAUGAGUACUUUGGGUAACAGGAACAGAAUUCUGUUGCAGAAGGAGGGAGGAAGAAGAAACCCAUUUGCUACUGUUAGCCCCAACUUUCAUAAUCUACAUGAAUUGAACUUUUUUCCUUAUUCCUUUCUCUCUUUUUUUAAAAAGCUUAUUCAUUUAAUUUGAGAGAGAGGGAGAGUGAUAGAGAGAGCAAGGGAGGGGCAGGGAGAGAGAAAAUC
This is a long non-coding RNA of Felis catus (domestic cat), 1145 nucleotides long. RefSeq lists it as uncharacterized. The transcript has 4 exons. NCBI's taxonomy places the organism in Eukaryota, Metazoa, Chordata, Mammalia, Carnivora, Felidae. The record is from RefSeq and is a predicted model, not a curated record.